Molecule: non-coding RNA, 74 nt
Organism: Trichonephila inaurata madagascariensis
Lineage: Eukaryota; Metazoa; Arthropoda; Arachnida; Araneae; Nephilidae
Source: the annotation of a GenBank genome assembly
GUCGCUGUGGCUCAGUUGGUUAAAGCGCCUGUAUAGCAAACAGGACAUCACAAGUUCAAAUCUCGUCGGUGCCU